This 301-nucleotide ribosomal RNA is filed under the name uncultured bacterium. RNAcentral's name for it is "partial 16S ribosomal RNA". It matches the Rfam family "Bacterial small subunit ribosomal RNA", at positions 509 to 807 of the family's 1533-position model. The record is from RNAcentral.
CAGCAGCCGCGGGAAUACGAAGGGGGCUAGCGUUGCUCGGAAUGACUGGGCGUAAAGGGCGCGUAGGCGGAUUGUUUAGUUAGGCGUGAAAUUCCUGGGCUUAACCUGGGGACUGCGCUUAAUACAGGCAGUCUAGAGUGAGGAAGAGGGUUGUGGAAUUCCCAGUGUAGAGGUGAAAUUCGUAGAUAUUGGGAAGAACACCGGUGGCGGAGGCGGCAACCUGGUCCUUGACUGACGCUGAGGCGCGAAAGCGUGGGGAGCAAACAGGAUUAGAUACCCCCGUAGUCCCUGUCUCUUAUAC